Molecule: long non-coding RNA, 5544 nt
Filed under: Solanum tuberosum (potato)
Lineage: Eukaryota; Viridiplantae; Streptophyta; Magnoliopsida; Solanales; Solanaceae
Description: long non-coding RNA (STUB_LNC011017)
Source: RNAcentral
CUCCUACCGCCUUUACGCACUUCCUUAACUCUGCAGGUGAUACCUUUCCAUCUCCAUUCUCAUCAAAGUACGUAAAUACCCUCUCUACCUCUCCCUUGUUACUACUACCACUAUUGUCACUCACAGGAAUACAGUUAGUAGUAGUAGUAGCAGCAGCUGCUGCUCUCGUUAUUGUUGUUGUUGUUUUCGUUGUUGUUAUCUUCUUCUUAUCUUCAUUCCUUCUGAAAUGAAACAUAUUCCGUAAUCUCGAGAAAAAAGACUCUUUUUCAGCUAUGGAAACAGAAACUGAUGAUACCAUACACAUAAGUUUGAAAUGUAAGUAGAAAAGGGUUGAAUUUGAAAUUCAACAAAGAAAAUUUGGGAAAUUAUAAGUUUUUGGAUGUAUAGUACUCUUUAAUACUCAACAAAUUAAGGAUAUGGGAAUGAAGGAAAAAGAAUGGGAUAUUUAUAGUUUGGGAAAUCAAUAAUGAGUGGGGAUAUAGUAUUAAUUCCGUGGGCUUACCAAGUAUUGAAACAACUUGUAUGACCAUUUGUUUCUAGUUGAAAAAAAUAUUACUCCCUCCGUCCCAUUUUAUAUGAUGUACUUUGAUUUGGCACAAACUUUAAGAAAAAUGGAAAGACUUUUAAAACUUGUGGUCCAAAAUGAAUGAUAGAAAUUUGUGUGGUGGUAAAUCAUUUCAUUAAGGGUAAAAAAGACAUUUUAUAGGCAAAUUGUUACUUAAAAUAGAAAUGUGUCAUUCUUUUUGGGACUGACUAAAAAGGAAAGUAAGUCAUAUAAAUUGGGACAGAGGGAGUAGUAAAAAACAAAAACAGGUAUUUAGAAGUUUGAAAAGUAAACAGUCAAAUGAACUAUGGAUUGGUUUAUAGGAUAAAGUCUUAUCUUGAAGACUACGUGUUUUGGGGGCAGACUAGUGGCAUCUUAUAUUAUAUUGUCAUUACAGAUGUCAUGCCAAAUAGACGCGGUGUUAAAAUUAGUCCAUAAAAUUAUAAUCCGUCUAAUUAGUGUAUGUUUGAAUUAGUUAAUAACUCACUUAUUUUAUUAAUUGGGCUCAUUUUGACACACCUUCAGUUCACCCAUUUUUAAGUUACAGUUGAUAUGCGAUCGCGAUUGACUCAUGAGAAUUUUUUUAAAAAUAUUUUAACUAAAACAAAUUAUUAAAAAAAAAACUUUGAAUCUAAAACUCAGUAUAGGAACUAGGUGGGUCCAACCUGCUUUAGCUCAGAUAGUAUUUAAGUGGGUUAAUGGCGGACUGGGAAUCUAAAUAAGCCACAAAAACAUAAAAGUGACCAAAAUAAGCCACUACUUUAGGAAGUAACUAAAAUAGGCUUAGUGGAAGAAAAAAUUCCACUUCAUCUAAUAUUCUAAACGUUUUCCGUUAGUCUCAUAACGUGUAUAUUUUAAUAUAUAACGGAAUUAUUUUCUACACUUUAUAAAAUGGAACUAUUUCUUACACUUUAUAAAGUGGUAACUUUUUCUUACACUUUAUAAAGUGAAACUUUUUCUUACACUUUAUAAAGUGGAGCUUUUUAUUACACUUUUUAUAAAAUAAGAAAAAGUUCCACUUUACAAAGUGUAACAAAAACUUACGCUUUACAAAGUGUAAGAAAUAGUUUCGUUUUACGAUGUGUAAAAAAUAGUUUCGUUAUAUAUUAAAAUACACAUGUUAUGAGACUAACGGAAAACGUUUGAUAUAGAUAAUUCACUCUCCAAAAUUUACUUGUCCUUGUGAUAAAAAUGAAGUAGGGUAUUUUACGACUAUAAUCAAAUUAUAAACAGUACUGUUUAUACCCAUUCUUUUAUAAAUUGAUGAAAUUUUUUUGUGAUAUCGAACAUUAAUUUAAUAUUUUGCAUUGUAUUUGGGAUGACACUUAUAAUAAACGGUAUUUCCGUCAUGUAUAAUUUCGCCAUCCCAAUAAAUCAAAACUCUAACUUUUGGUUUAGAAGACAUUUUUUUUUUUGAGAUCAAAAUGAACAAAUAUAGAAAGUAUGUUGUAGGUGCUACCAAGUUAAUGUUUUGAACGUUCCUCCUUAAAUAGAGAUUGGAGGAUUUUUCAGAAUAAAAAAAUAAAAAUACAUAGUGUAAUAAUUUUUCCAUUUUUAUGAUAUGUCAAAUCAAUAUAAUUGUAUGACAAACACUGCAAAAGAGAUAAAAACGUGAAAAUAUUUCUCUUUGUAAAGUGGAAUUUUCUCUUCCACUUUGUAAAGUGUAAAAAAUAGUUCCAUUUUAUAAAGUGUAGAAAAUAAUUCCGUUAUAUAUUAAAAUAUACACGUUAUGAGACUAACGGAAAACGUUUAGAAUAUUAGAUAAAGUGGAAUUUUUUCUUCCACUAAGCCUAUUUUAGUUACUUCCUAAAGUAGUGGCUUAUUUUGGUCUAUUUUUUAUGUUUUUGUGGCUUAUUUAGGUUCCCAGUCCGUUAAUGACCUGUUCAUUUAUUAGUUCAACUCAUUUUAACAUCCUUAAAUUCAGCUUAACCUGUUCAUUUGACCGCCCUAAUAUAUACACUACUUACCUUUUAUGGCAUAUAUAUCCAAAAUAGUGUCCUUUCUUUCAUCUAUAAUGUAAGUUCUCUUUGAGUUUCUACUUCUACUUUUAGUAAGACUACACUUGGCUUGAAUUUGUUUGUUUUUCUUGUUGGGCAAGGAUAGCUAGGACACUGGAAGAGUGUAAAACUAUUCCAAAUUUAAUAGUGAGGUGGUAAAUUUGAUGUAAAUAAGGGGAAAUUAAAGAUAUUUGAGUAAGAUAGGUCAAUAUAAUAUCAAGAAAGAAUGCGUAACGAUAGUAAUUAAACACCUCGUUCGAUGAAUAAUUUAAUAAACAAAGAAGUAAUACGUGCUCCAAUUCAUAAAAUAUGGAGGGAGUAACUUUACAAAUAUGAAAUGAAAAAAUCUCAAUGAAUUAUUUGAUCUCAAGAAUCAUAUUUACACAAAUAUUUCUCUCUAAACUCUUCUUAACUUGUCAUCAUAAUUUUAAACUCAUCAAAGCUAAGAACUCCAUCUCCAUUGAUAUCAAAUCUCCUUAUCAUAACCUUGCAUUUAUCAAUGGAGGUUGACUCGCCGAGUCGACUCAACAUCAUCUUCAAGCUCUUAGGAGUAAUGUAUCCUUCCAUUUCAUACAUUCCAAAUGCUCCCAUCAACUCACUCUCUUUAUUCCUCUCUUCCUCCAUUCCUUCCAUUAACUUCGUAAAAUCCUCCAACCCUAACAACCCGUCCCCAUCAGAAUCCGAUAGCCUCACAGCCAUCUCCGCCUCCUCCAUCGUCAGUUCACCUCCUACCGCCUUCAUGCAUCUCCUUAGCUCCGGUGGUGACACAUUUCCAUCUCCGUUCUCAUCAAAGUACGUAAAUACCCUCUCUAACUCUCCCUUGUUACUACUACUAACACAUGAGUUAGUAGUAGUAGCAGUUGUUAUUGUUGUUGUUGUUGUCGUUGUCUUCUUCUCCUCUUCCUUCUUUUUGAGAUGAAAUAUAUUCCGUAAUCUUGAGAAAAAAGAUUCCUUUUCAGCUGUGGAAACAGUUACUGAUGCUAUACACAUACUAGCAAACAAAUAUACGUUUGAACUGCUUUUUCUUGUAUUCAAGAAAGUUUGAAUAUGAGUAAGUGAGAAAAGGGUUGAACUUGAAAUUAACAAAGAAAACCACGUAAAGAGACAAGAAAUCAAGGAUAUGGGAAUGAAGGGAGAAGAAUGGUCUAUUUAUAGUUUGUGGGGUUGAAGAAAAAGGGAUAGUUAAUUCAGUGGGCUUACCAUUUGUUUUGUAGGUAGAAAACAAGAAGUUUGAAAAGUAAACAGGCAACAGGCUAUAAAAUAUAAUAUAAAGUUUUUAUAACAUUUAAAUAUGAUUAAAGACUACGUGUUUGGUGUGUGUAUCUCUUUGGGGAUUGAAAUCUUAUAUUAUAUUCAAAUAUUGUCAUGCCAAAUUGACGUAUAUCCUUACCUCUUAUGACAUAUCCAAAAUAGUGUCCUUUCUUUCCUCUUUCUCUUUUUUGAGUUUAAUUUCUAAUAUCCCCUUAGGUGGGUUUGUCGAUUUUUUUUUUUUGAAAAAUAAGUGAUUUUUAUCUAUUUUUUUUUAUGUUUGGUGAGUAAGGAGAAAAUAUUAUUUUAAGAGCAUUUAAGUAGAAUAUAAGCAAAUAAUAUGGCCAAGACCUAGACUUGAACCCAACAUGGAACUCGACCCCGACCUGGAAUCGAGACCUCACAUCCGGCCCAACCCUAACCUCAACUUGAAAACCAUACCCCUAGCUCCGAUCUCAAUCCCCAACAUGGUACCAAACCCAAUCUUUGAUCCACGAUUUUGGACAUGAUCGUCGACACGACUUAGAAUCGAGCAUUGGUUUGACUCUAACUCGAACCCUAACUCGAGACUCGACCCUGGACUAUUAAUCAAUCCUUGGUCCGAGACCCAAUAGGACCUUGACUCGAGACUCGACUCUUCGGUUGCGACUUGUGAAUCAGUACCUAGCUAGUAUCGACCACGACUAUAAACUCAAACCUUGUCCUGGCCUCAACUCGAGACUCAAACCCCCCGACCCCUAUCCUUCACAUUGAAUCAAUACCUGAUCCCCGACUUUGACGCUGACCCAGAACUCAACCAUAGCUUGUGACUCGAUCCGUUAAUCGAGACAUGGAUCUUGACCCCAACUCGACCCUGACUAGGUUUCUAACCCAUAUUCCGAUCCGUGAUCUAACCUCAACACGAGACCCUAUAAACUAUACCCCCUUUAGUCCACAUUAAGUGAAUUGUUGGAGCAUACACACCCUUAAGAAAAUACAUAUAAGGACAAAAAUUAAAGGCUACUUUCCACUAUUUACCCUUUUGAUUAUUUCAAACUAUUCUCCUAGAAAAUGUAAAUUAGUUAAGAAACUCAUUAGAAGGAAGGGUAAAUAUGAAAAAAUAAUCCCAACAAUUCUCUUGAACUUUGAAAAUUCACUUAUUUUGAAUUAUAUAAAAAAAAAAAAGUAUCAACAAUUCACUUAAUAUGGACCAGACUAGGGGAGUCCUUUUCAAUCAUACGCUAUGAAAGAACAAUAGAAACAAACUCAAUUUCCACUGUUGAAGUAACACUUCUCCAAGUUAGUAAACCAAGGAAUUGAUUACAAAUUUGAAUCUAUGAAUGUAUAAAUCUCAACCAAAAACCAUUUACAUAAUUACCAGAAACAUUUGAGCUCAAGAAUCAAGAAGAAAUAAAAUAACAAUAACAAGCCCAAGGCCAAAGAAUUAUGUACACAAAUAUCUCUUCUAAGUUGUCAUCAUAACUUUGAACUCAUCAAAGCUAAGAACUCCAUCUCCAUUGAUAUCAAAUCUCCUUAUCAUAACCUUGCAUUUAUCAAUGGAGGUUGACUCGCCGAGUCGACUCAACAUCAUCUUCAAGCUCUUAGGAGUAAUGUAUCCUUCCAUUUCAUACAUUCCAAAUGCUCCCAUCAACUCACUCUCUUUAUUCCUCUCUUCCUCCAUUCCUUCCAUUAACUUCGUAAAAUCCUCCAACCCUAACAACCCAUCCCCAUCUGAAUCCGAUAGCCUCACCGCCAUCUCAGCCUCCUCCACCGUCA